UGCUAAAAACCUCGACUUCGGAAGGGGUGUAUUUAUUAGAUAAAAAACCAAUGCCCUUCGGGGCUCCUUGGUGAAUCAUAAUAACUUAACGAAUCGCAUGGCCUUGCGCCGGCGAUGGUUCAUUCAAAUUUCUGCCCUAUCAACUUUCGAUGGUAGGAUAGUGGCCUACCAUGGUAUCAACGGGUAACGGGGAAUUAGGGUUCGACUCCGGAGAGGGAGCCUGAGAAACGGCUACCACAUCCAAGGAAGGCAGCAGGCGCGCAAAUUACCCAAUCCCGACACGGGGAGGUAGUGACAAUAAAUACUGAUACAGGGCUCUUUUGGGUCUUGUAAUUGGAAUGAGUACAAUUUAAAUCCCUUAACGAGGAACAAUUGGAGGGCAAGUCUGGUGCCAGCAGCCGCGGUAAUUCCAGCUCCAAUAGCGUAUAUUAAAGUUGUUGCAGUUAAAAAGCUCGUAGUUGAACCUUGGGCCUGGCUGGCCGGUCCGCCUCACCGCGUGUACUGGUCCGGCCGGGCCUUUCCUUCUGGGGAACCUCAUGCCCUUCACUGGGCGUGUUGGGGAACCAGGACUUUUACUUUGAAAAAAUUAGAGUGUUCAAAGCAGGCCUUUGCUCGAAUACAUUAGCAUGGAAUAAUAGAAUAGGACGUGUGGUUCUAUUUUGUUGGUUUCUAGGACCGCCGUAAUGAUUAAUAGGGAUAGUCGGGGGCAUCAGUAUUCAAUCGUCAGAGGUGAAAUUCUUGGAUUGAUUGAAGACUAACUACUGCGAAAGCAUUUGCCAAGGAUGUUUUCAUUAAUCAGUGAACGAAAGUUAGGGGAUCGAAGACGAUCAGAUACCGUCGUAGUCUUAACCAUAAACUAUGCCGACUAGGGAUCGGACGGUGUUAGUAUUUUGACCCGUUCGGCACCUUACGAGAAAUCAAAGUUUUUGGGUUC
This 934-nucleotide ribosomal RNA is filed under the name Cladosporium sp. Its description in RNAcentral is "SSU rRNA". It matches the Rfam family "Eukaryotic small subunit ribosomal RNA", at positions 172 to 1114 of the family's 1831-position model. Lineage: Eukaryota; Fungi; Ascomycota; Dothideomycetes; Cladosporiales; Cladosporiaceae. The record is from RNAcentral.